This 391-nucleotide unclassified non-coding RNA is filed under the name soil metagenome. RNAcentral's name for it is "partial contains 5.8S ribosomal RNA, internal transcribed spacer 2, and large subunit ribosomal RNA". The stretch from base 1 to 120 matches the Rfam family "5.8S ribosomal RNA", at positions 35 to 154 of the family's 154-position model. The record is from RNAcentral.
GAUGAAGAACGUAGCGAAAUGCGAUAAGUAAUGUGAAUUGCAGAAUUCAGUGAAUCAUCGAAUCUUUGAACGCACCUUGCGCUCCUUGGUAUUCCGAGGAGCAUGCCUGUUUGAGUGUCAUUAAAUUCUCAACCUCACCAAUUUUUGUAAUGAAAGUUGUGUGCAGGCUUGGAUGUGGGGGUUUGCAGGUCCGCUCCUUGGUGGUCUGCUCCUCUAAAAUGCAUUAGUGGGUUGUGCCCCUAAUCUAUUGGUGUGAUAAUUAUCUACGCCGUGGAUGAGGUUGGCUACUAUAGACCUGCUUCUAACCGUCCGUCUCGGACAACUUUGACAUUUUUGACCUCAAAUCAGGUAAGACUACCCGCUGAACUUAAGCAUAUCAAUAAGCGGAGGA